AAAGGUGAGUCAAAAAUACCUUGGAACAAAUAUCUAUGGUUGCUUAGUGUAGAUCUGAGUGUGCUUAGUGUAAAUCUAAGUCUGUUAAGUGAUUUUGCGUAAGUUUUGUGACAUAAAUAAUUCGGGAAAACUAUUUCCCAGUUUUCCGGCGACUGAACCCGAGAGUUGCAAGUGUUUUCUGACCACAGCUAGUCAUUAUGUGGACAAAUCCUUAUUCUCCUUCUCCUUAGCUUUAUUUUGAUAUAAAGAUUGAUGAAAAUGGUUAAGUUUCAAAGCUAAAUGGAGCCCAGGAAUUUUU
RNAcentral lists this long non-coding RNA (298 nucleotides) under Malus domestica (apple). Its description in RNAcentral is "long non-coding RNA (MDOM_LNC012974)". Lineage: Eukaryota; Viridiplantae; Streptophyta; Magnoliopsida; Rosales; Rosaceae. The record is from RNAcentral.